RNAcentral lists this long non-coding RNA (247 nucleotides) under Homo sapiens (human). RNAcentral's name for it is "non-protein coding lnc-RASGRP2-2:1". The record is from RNAcentral. Lineage: Eukaryota; Metazoa; Chordata; Mammalia; Primates; Hominidae.
UCUCCUAGACCUGGGGGAUUUGGAGGCAGCCUGCAGGUAGACUUGGUUUCCUUCCCUGGUCUGAGGGAUCAAGAAACCCAAUAAAGCCUUCUCUGAAUGGGAGGCCCUGGAGCCCAGGGGUGAAGAGGCUGCAGCCUCUGAUCAGGAAGGUGAGGGUAGGAAUGUGUGUGGAGGAAGGUCAGCAUCUCUGCUCCCCUGGCCCGCCCCACCCCCCAAAUUCAGAUGUGCAUCUUGUGUGGAGUGGGGA